Molecule: ribosomal RNA, 497 nt
Filed under: uncultured bacterium
Lineage: Bacteria
Description: partial 16S ribosomal RNA
Rfam family: Bacterial small subunit ribosomal RNA
Source: RNAcentral
GAUGAACGCUGGCGGCGUGCUUAAUACAUGCAAGUCGAGCGAACAGACGCGGAGUUUGCUCCUCUGUCGUUAGCGGCGGACGUGAGUGAAACAUGUGGAUCCUCUCCCUAUCAGACUGGGAUAUCUUCGGGACUCCGGCGAUAAUACCGGAUAAUCUCCUGCACCGCAUGGUUCAUUGGUGAAAGUCGGUUUUGCUGUCUGUUAUCGAUGGUUCCGAGCCGAAUUAGCUAGUUGUGACGGUAACGGCUUUCCACGGCAACGAUGCCUAGCCGACCGGUGAGAGGGGUAGGCCACACGGGAACUGAGACGCGGUCCAGGCUCCUACGAGAGGCAGCAGUAGGGAAUCUGCCGCAAUGGUCGAGAGCCUUACGGAGCAACGCCGCGUGAGUGGUGGAAAUCUUCGGAUCGUAAAACUCUGUUAUGAGGGAAGAACAAAUGUGUAAUGAACUAUGCACGGCGUGACGGUACCGAGUCAGAAAGCCACGGCUAACUACGUG